This 927-nucleotide unclassified non-coding RNA is filed under the name Hevea brasiliensis (rubber tree). Lineage: Eukaryota; Viridiplantae; Streptophyta; Magnoliopsida; Malpighiales; Euphorbiaceae. The record is from RNAcentral.
CUACCUUAGGCCGAAGCUUCUCUCUACUGCAAUGGGCAAAAGCUCCUCAUCAAUGAGCAAAGCCAAAUCCGCAGCAAUUGGCAAAACCCCUCUCUACAAUGGGUGACAACCUCACUCCAUGGGCUGAAAGUCAUUCUCUUCAAUGGGCAAAAGUCAAAUAACAUUUUUCAUCAUUCUCUUAUUUAUAGUGUUAAUUCUCUCAAUUCUAAUAUGAUUAGAAGUCCUACUUAAUUUAGGAAUAACACUAAAACAAGAAUUCUACUCUAUAUAUAAAAUAUUCAUUUAUCCUAUUGAGGAAUAUUUCUCCUACUCAAAUUAGGAAAAGGUCUCUUCAAAUCUUACUAUGAUUUUGAGUCAUAAUUCUAACAAGAAUCAAAUCUCAUAUGAAAGUAUAAAAUUUGAACUUAGUGUGAUGUGCCUAUCUGAAGUUAAAUGGAGAGGCUUUCAGUCAAAUGCCCUCAUGUGCUUGAAAUAUUUUUGUCAUAAUGAUUUUCCUUUGAGACUAACAAUUAAGUUGAACAGCUAUACAUCAUUUUAGUUAUCACCCAAACUCAUUCUUCAGUAAAUAAAUUUUGGAGAUGCCUUUAAAUUACAUGCAUUUAUUGGUAUUUCAUUUGAAUAGUUUCCUAGCCUAAUAAAAUCAUUCUCUGUAGUUCUAUGCUGAGUCAGACUUCACAGACAAUGAUGAUUUUGGGGAGAAUUGUUGGACAUCACAUCGGAUAAUUUUGAGUCAUUUAUGGUUGCAUCUCAAGACUAUCAAGAUAUCCGGCCUGAUGGAAACAAAAAGUCAUUUUACACGUGAACAUGUUUGGCAUUUCUUGGGUUUCUGCUCAAGAAUGCCAGUGUGCUGGAGGAGAUGAUUAUAUAUGGUUCUCGUCAUUGUCUUUGUAAAACAGAUGUUCUCAAUACUCAACUCAACUCAACUAA